RNAcentral lists this ribosomal RNA (502 nucleotides) under uncultured bacterium. Its description in RNAcentral is "partial 16S ribosomal RNA". It matches the Rfam family "Bacterial small subunit ribosomal RNA", at positions 899 to 1397 of the family's 1533-position model. The record is from RNAcentral.
ACUCAAAGGAAUAGACGGGGGCCCGCACAAGCGGUGGAGCAUGUUGUUUAAUACGUCACUAACCGUAGAACCUUACCAGGGUUUGACAUGGGGUGUCCUGCGGUGAAAGCCGCCUCUGGAGCAAUCCAGCACCCACACAGGUGUUGCAUGGCUGUCGUCAGCUCGUGUCGUGAGAUGUUGGGUUAAGUCCCGCAACGAGCGCAACCCUCAUCCCCUGUUGCCAGCGGGUGAAGCCGGGAACUCUGGGGAAACUGCCGGGGUAACUCGGAGGAAGGUGAGGAUGACGUCAAGUCAGCAUGGCCCUUACAUCCUGGGCUACAAACAUGCUACAAUGGACGGUAGACAGACCGUUCCGACUGCGCAAGCAGAAGGCAAUCGGCCAAAUCCGUUCUCAGUUCGGAUCGCAGGCUGCAACUCGCCUGCGUGAAGCCGGAAUCGCUAGUAACCGCAGAUCAGCUAAGCUGCGGUGAAUACGUUCCCGGGCCUUGUACACACCGCCCGU